AACGCGAAGAACCUUACCCAGGCUCGAAAUGUAAAGGGCGAUACCAGAGAUGGUAUCUUCCGCAAGGACUUUUAUAUAGGUGCUGCAUGGCUGUCGUCAGCUCGUGCCGUGAGGUGUUUGGUUAAGUCCAGCAACGAGCGCAACCCUUAUCAUUAGUUGCCAACACGCGAGGUGGGGACUCUAAUGAGACUGCCUAGGUUAACUAGGAGGAAGGUGAGGAUGACGUCAAGUCCGCAUGGCCUUUAUGUCUGGGGCUACACACGUGCUACAAUGGUCGGUACAGAAGGCAGCAAGACCGUAAGGUGGAGCAAAUCCGUAAAGCCGAUCACAGUUCAGAUUGUAGUCUGCAACUCGACUACAUGAAGUUGGAAUUGCUAGUAAUGACGAGUCAGCAACAUCGUCGUGAAUACGUUCCCGGGCCUUGUACACACCGACUGUAC
This 440-nucleotide ribosomal RNA is filed under the name uncultured bacterium. Its description in RNAcentral is "bacterial SSU rRNA". It matches the Rfam family "Bacterial small subunit ribosomal RNA", at positions 958 to 1399 of the family's 1533-position model. The record is from RNAcentral.